CAGCCGCCGCGGGAAUACGGAGGGCGCGAGCGUUACCCGGAUUUACUGGGCGUAAAGGGCGUGUAGGCGGCCUGGGGCGUCCCAUGUGAAAGGCCACGGCUCAACCGUGGAGGAGCGUGGGAUACGCUCAGGCUAGAGGGUGGGAGAGGGUGGUGGAAUUCCCGGAGUAGCGGUGAAAUGCGCAGAUACCGGGAGGAACGCCGAUGGCGAAGGCAGCCACCUGGUCCACUUCUGACGCUGAGGCGCGAAAGCGUGGGGAGCAAACCGGAUUAGAGACCCGCGUAGUCCCUGUCUCUUAUAC
This 301-nucleotide ribosomal RNA is filed under the name uncultured bacterium. Its description in RNAcentral is "partial 16S ribosomal RNA". It matches the Rfam family "Bacterial small subunit ribosomal RNA", at positions 509 to 807 of the family's 1533-position model. The record is from RNAcentral.